Mauremys reevesii (Reeves's turtle) is the source of this 1007-nucleotide long non-coding RNA. RefSeq lists it as uncharacterized. The transcript has 3 exons. Lineage: Eukaryota; Metazoa; Chordata; Testudines; Geoemydidae. The record is from RefSeq and is a predicted model, not a curated record.
GGGAGCUUAGAGCCCACCCCUCAGAGGGUCAGGCGGUGACCCAGAAGUAUAAAGGCUCACCCUCAGAACUGACUAGGUAGCCAGCCACCGGGCAGCCAGACAUCUCCCGCCUAGCCCACGACGGGGAAACCCCUGCUGCCCAAGGUACACGCCAGGACUGGCCUGACCUGCCCAGUGCUCGCUACCCGGAGGAGGUGCCAGACCUGCCCUGUGCCCACUACCUGGAGGAGUUGCCGGGCCUGCCGCUUGCCCACUACCCCAAGGAACCCACGGUAGUGGACCCGCCGGAGGACAACACCCUGACCCAGGGAGAACCCAGAAUUGUCAUUCUUGGGCCAGAGGGACAAAGUCGUGUCAAAGAGAGGUUCCUACCCCAGUGAAUAAUCAAUGCAAUGGCAUGGAUCACAGCUAUAGAAGAGUCAGCUCCCUCCUGCAGCUCCAGCUAAAGUGGAUAGUGAACUGCCUGGGCCCACUGAGAUCUCCAGACCACCAGCUCAUGUAUUUGAAAGACAUCUGUUUAUUUUUAAAUUGCAAAUGUAGCCUACCUCAAAGACUGACUUCAAGAAAUGAACAAUCUGAACAAGUCAAGAGGUUUCCAAUCAGAAGCUGUGUUCCUCCUUUCUAUCAGGCUGUGAUCACUUGCUGUCAAAACCACUUAAACAAUAUUCCAGAAUUUGAAUGAAGUCCCCCCACAAUUAAAAUGAGCAGGAUAAUCCUGCAAGAAUUAUUCAGCCAAAUCAUUUUUCACACCGUUUAAAGUAAUGAUAAGGUCAUUUACAAAAGAAAUCACUGCCUUUGAAAUGUUGACUUGUAGACAGAGGACUGCCUGGAGGAGGGCCAUAGAUAACAGUGAAGACUGGCCUCCUAACACCACCCUUGCAGUCUUUGGAACUGAUUCCGAUGAAGAGAAGGCCCAAUAAGGUUAAUACCCCUACUUUGAUCUCUGUCAAAGCGUACCAGCAAGAAUUAAUUUACAUUUCAGAUGAAAAAGGUUGACAGCAUGAAAA